Long non-coding RNA from Mirounga angustirostris (Northern elephant seal), 810 nucleotides. RefSeq lists it as uncharacterized. The record is from RefSeq and is a predicted model, not a curated record. Lineage: Eukaryota; Metazoa; Chordata; Mammalia; Carnivora; Phocidae. The transcript has 4 exons.
UAGUAACAAAUCGGAGAAACAACAAUAUCAAUAUCUGACACCCAUGAAGCAAGGCAGAGAGACAUCCACUUAAAGAGAAGCAGUGCAGCUGUUGAAAGUGAUGAGCACAAAGACUUUUCCCUAAGAUCUGAAGGAAAAAGUCAAAGCUCUAAAUACUGCUGGAGACUUGAUCCCCGUGUAAGUUGGAACCAGAAAACAGAGAAAAUGAAACACACUCUUGAUGUCUUCGAGGAGCUCACCAAAUCUAUCUGGCAUGUGUUUAUUUUUUUGGUCCACCUAUUUCAAUAUUGGUAUCUGUAAGAGGAUGGGGAAAUGGCCCGUGCCCAGGGCAUCAGAAUUUUUAUAAGGAGUGGGGCAGGGACCUGAGGGCAAAAGGUCAACUUUUGGACAAGAGGAAGAUGAAUCUUUCCUUGUCCCUCUGCUGCCUGAGUCACCUGGAGCAGACAGACCUGGACUUUGUUACAGCAACAGAAUGUUGUCGAAGAUUUUUGAGCAUGUGAUUUAGAAAGCUUAUUUUUCAUGGCACCGUGGACAAUAAAUUGGAGAAGAGAGAGAGGAGGCAGACAGACAAGGGGAGGAGGCUAUCGCAAUAACCCGGGUUUUGAGGAGAUCGACCUUGAAGACUGCUGGACUCCUACUCAUUUCUGCCUUCUUUGUGGGGAUUCCCCGGGAUUCAAAAGCACAUCAAAGUAGCACAACUAUGUGGCUCUGUUGGUUGAAGGCAUUGCUGAGCCCUUGCUGCGGUGUGUGAGUUGGACAGGAACCAGGUUCUCUCGAAGUUUCAGGAAUGGACUGGCACCACUCCAGAUG